This 195-nucleotide small nuclear RNA is filed under the name Ipomoea nil (Japanese morning glory). RNAcentral's name for it is "U2 spliceosomal RNA". It matches the Rfam family "U2 spliceosomal RNA". From Rfam's summary of the family: U2 is a small nuclear RNA (snRNA) component of the spliceosome (involved in pre-mRNA splicing). Complementary binding between U2 snRNA (in an area lying towards the 5' end but 3' to hairpin I) and the branchpoint sequence (BPS) of the intron results the bulging out of an unpaired adenosine, on the BPS, which initiates a nucleophilic attack at the intronic 5' splice site, thus starting the first of two transesterification reactions that mediate splicing. Lineage: Eukaryota; Viridiplantae; Streptophyta; Magnoliopsida; Solanales; Convolvulaceae. The record is from Rfam by way of RNAcentral.
AUACCUUUCUCGGCCUUUUGGCUAAGAUCAAGUGUAGUAUCUGUUCUUAUCAGUUUAAUAUCUGAUACGUGAGCCAAUGGCUCACACGAUAUUAACUCAAUUUUUUUAGGGGAAAGGCUCAUUGAGGUAGCUUGCUGCCUAGUCUUUGAGUGUCGCCUUGGUAUUGCACUAUUGCCUUGGCCUGGCACACCCCAA